AUGAACGCUGGCGGCGUGCCUAAUACAUGCAAGUCGCGCUAACAGACGAGGAGCUUGCUCCUCUGACGUUAGCGGCGGACGGGUGAGUAACACGUGGAUAACCUACCUAUAAGACUGGGAUAACUUCGGGAAACCGGAGCUAAUACCGGAUAAUAUAUUGAACCGCAUGGUUCAAUAGUGAAAGACGGUUUUGCUGUCACUUAUAGAUGGAUCCGCGCCGCAUUAGCUAGUUGGUAAGGUAACGGCUUACCAAGGCGACGAUGCGUAGCCGACCUGAGAGGGUGAUCGGCCACACUGGAACUGAGACACGGUCCAGACUCCUACGGGAGGCAGCAGUAGGGAAUCUUCCGCAAUGGGCGAAAGCCUGACGGAGCAACGCCGCGUGAGUGAUGAAGGUCUUCGGAUCGUAAAACUCUGUUAUUAGGGAAGAACAAAUGUGUAAGUAACUAUGCACGUCUUGACGGUACCUAAUCAGAAAGCCACGGCUAACUACGUG
Molecule: ribosomal RNA, 496 nt
Filed under: uncultured bacterium
Lineage: Bacteria
Description: partial 16S ribosomal RNA
Rfam family: Bacterial small subunit ribosomal RNA
Source: RNAcentral